AUUGAACGCUGGCGGCAUGCCUUACACAUGCAAGUCGAACGGUAACGGGCCUUCGGGUGCCGACGAGUGGCGAACGGGUGCGUAAUACAUCGGAACGUGCCCGAUCGUGGGGGAUAACGAGGCGAAAGCUUUGCUAAUACCGCAUACGAUCUACGGAUGAAAGCAGGGGACCGCAAGGCCUUGCGCGGACGGAGCGGCCGCUGGCAGAUUAGGUAGUUGGUGGGGUAAAAGCUUACCAAGCCGACGAUCUGUAGCUGGUCUGAGAGGAUGAUCAGCCACACUGGGACUGAGACACGGCCCAGACUCCUACGGGAGGCAGCAGUGGGGAAUUUUGGACAAUGGGCGCAAGCCUGAUCCAGCCAUGCCGCGUGCAGGAUGAAGGCCUUCGGGUUGUAAACUGCUUUUGUACGGAACGAAAAGCCUUCUUUUAAUACAGGAGGGUCAUGACGGUACCGUAAGAAUAAGCACCGGCUAACUACGUG
Molecule: ribosomal RNA, 482 nt
Filed under: uncultured bacterium
Lineage: Bacteria
Description: partial 16S ribosomal RNA
Rfam family: Bacterial small subunit ribosomal RNA
Source: RNAcentral